GUGUCUCACUGUGCUGCUGCUGCUGCUGCUGCUGAGGUCAGUGAGUUCAGAGACUGGUACAGGGAGCCAGAGCUCACAUCAAACUCUGCCCGUGUCCAUCACACUGAGACUGGCAGGAGGCUACUCACUGAUUUCACUCCAUGCUGCAGGAAUGGGACCACAGGCUGCAAAUGGACAGAGCUCCUCCACACGGCAGUGAAAAUUCUCAUCCCAAACUG
Molecule: non-coding RNA, 218 nt
Organism: Chiloscyllium plagiosum (whitespotted bambooshark)
Lineage: Eukaryota; Metazoa; Chordata; Chondrichthyes; Orectolobiformes; Hemiscylliidae
Source: RefSeq, a predicted model, not a curated record